GAUGAACGCUGGCGGCGUGCCUAAUACAUGCAAGUCGAGCGAACAGACGAGGAGCUUGCUCCUCUGACGUUAGCGACGGACGGGUGAGUAACACGUGGAUAACCUCCCUAUAAGACUGGGAUAACUUCGGGAAACCGGAGCUAAUACCGGAUAAUAUAUUGAACCGCAUGGUUCAAUAGUGAAAGACGGUUUUGCUGUCACUUAUAGAUGGAUCCGCGCCGCAUUAGCUAGUUGGUAAGGUAACGGCUUACCAAGGCAACGAUGCGUAGCCGACCUGAGAGGGUGAUCGGCCACACUGGAACUGAGACACGGUCCAGACUCCUACGGGAGGCAGCAGUAGGGAAUCUUCCGCAAUGGGCGAAAGCUUGACGGAGCAACGCCGCGUGAGUGAUGAAGGUCUUCGGAUCGUAAAACUCUGUUAUUAGGGAAGAACAAAUGUGUAAGUAACUAUGCACGUCUUGACGGUACCUAAUCAGAAAGCCACGGCUAACUACGUG
RNAcentral lists this ribosomal RNA (497 nucleotides) under uncultured bacterium. Its description in RNAcentral is "partial 16S ribosomal RNA". It matches the Rfam family "Bacterial small subunit ribosomal RNA", at positions 28 to 507 of the family's 1533-position model. The record is from RNAcentral.